RNAcentral lists this ribosomal RNA (406 nucleotides) under uncultured bacterium. Its description in RNAcentral is "partial 16S ribosomal RNA". It matches the Rfam family "Bacterial small subunit ribosomal RNA", at positions 29 to 526 of the family's 1533-position model. The record is from RNAcentral.
AUUGAACGCUGGCGGCAGGCCUAACACAUGCAAGUCGAACGAGUGGCGGACGGGUGAGUAAUGUCUGGGAAACUGCCUGAUGGAGGGGGAUAACUCCUGGAAACGGUAGCUAAUACCGCAUACCAUCAGAUGUGCCCCGAUGGGAUUGGCUUGUUGGUGGGGUAACGGCGAACAAAGGCGACGAUCCCUAGCUGGUCUGAGAGGAUGACAAGCCACAAUGGAACUGAGACACGGUCCAGACUCCUACGGGAGGCAGCAGUGGGGAAUAUUGCACAAGGGGCGCAAGCCUGAUGCAGCCAUGCGGCGUGGAUGAAGAAGGCCUUCGGGUUGUAAAGUACUGUCAGCGGGGAGGCGUUACCCGCAGAAGAAGCACCGGCUAACUCCGUGCCAGCAGCCGCGGUAAUAC